ACGCGCAUAAGACCUGUCCGAGGCUAUGAUGCCCAUGGACUUGGGAUGGGAGCGAGUAGGACAGGCACGCAC
Molecule: non-coding RNA, 72 nt
Filed under: unclassified sequences
Description: DUF3800-X RNA
Rfam family: DUF3800-X RNA
Source: Rfam by way of RNAcentral